AUUACAGAGUUCUCGCCCUCGCGGGUAGAUCUCCCACCCACUGUAAUUGCUACCGUGUUGCUUUGGCGGGCCGCCGGGCCCAGCCCGCCGCCGGCCCCGGCCGGCGCGUGCCCGCCAGAAGCCCCGCAAACUCUGAAUGUCAGCGUCGUCUGAGUACUAUAUAAUAGUUAAAACUUUCAACAACGGAUCUCUUGGUUCUGGCAUCGAUGAAGAACGCAGCGAAAUGCGAUAAGUAAUGCGAAUUGCAGAAUUCAGUGAGUCAUCGAAUCUUUGAACGCACAUUGCGCCCUGUGGUAUUCCGCAGGGCAUGCCUGUUCGAGCGUCAUUUCAACCCUCAAGCUCUGCUUGGUGUUGGGCCCUGCCCGCUGCGGCCGGCCCUAAAGACAGUGGCGGUGCCGCCUGGCCCUGAGCGUAGUACAUCUCUCGCUCCAGUGCCCGGUGGUAGCCUGCCUAGAACCCCAACUCUCGUGGUUGACCUCGGAUCAGGUAGGGAUACCCGCUGAAC
Molecule: ribosomal RNA, 505 nt
Filed under: Oidiodendron sp. aurim609
Lineage: Eukaryota; Fungi; Ascomycota; Leotiomycetes; Myxotrichaceae
Description: eukaryotic LSU rRNA
Rfam family: 5.8S ribosomal RNA (bases 172-325)
Source: RNAcentral